UCGAAGCGCUCCUCCACCCGCUCGAAGGCCCACUUCUCCGCCACUCUCUUGGCGGCGCAGUCCAGCAGGGACUCGGGCUGCAGAUGUGAUGAGGAAAAAAUGAACGGGACGGCACAUGGGAGAAAGCGAAGGACCAUUCGAAUUCAAACAUAAAAUAAGCGCUGUACUCUCUGUUGAGGUGAUCACAUGGUGUGAACGACACACAGGGGCUGGAACCAUCCUUCUCCUAUUUAAGUGCCGGGAAAUCGAAGGAAUGUUGCUCUCCACAAUAAAAGUUAGGAUUGAAUCCCUGAA
Ornithorhynchus anatinus (platypus) is the source of this 294-nucleotide long non-coding RNA. RefSeq lists it as uncharacterized. Lineage: Eukaryota; Metazoa; Chordata; Mammalia; Monotremata; Ornithorhynchidae. The record is from RefSeq and is a predicted model, not a curated record. The transcript is spliced from 2 exons.